Molecule: long non-coding RNA, 4418 nt
Filed under: Nicotiana tabacum (common tobacco)
Lineage: Eukaryota; Viridiplantae; Streptophyta; Magnoliopsida; Solanales; Solanaceae
Description: long non-coding RNA (NTAB_LNC002368)
Source: RNAcentral
AUUUUGCUCAAAGGAAAAAGUGCCUUCCAUCAUUUUUGACACACACGACAGAGUCUAGAAUCUGCUCUCGUCUUCCGUCUCUUCUAUUCCAACCGAUGGAGGAGUUUCAGUUCGCCUUCUUCAAACUUUCAACAAUACUCGUAGCUCUUUUCGUCUUCUUAUCUAUCUAUUAGAUUUCAGGCAUUAUUCGCUCAAUCCUUGCUCGCAUCUUCUUUGUUUUCUCUUUGUCUUCUUUUCUUUCUUUGCUACUUUUAGAUCUAUUUAACUGUUUUCAAUUUCAUGGAUAAAUUUCCUUGGAUUUUGUAUUUUCCAACCAGAUGAUGCGGAAUUACCAUUUUAAGGGCUAUUCUCCGUCCAAUUUCAUUGAUGUUGCCUUCUUCUUGCUGAUUCACCUCUAUCUCUUCUUCUUCAUAAGGUAUUGAAAUUUAUUGUUCUACUAACUUAAAACAAAAAGGAUAUUUAAUUUUACUCCUAAUUCAUGUUGUUCUUCCUUUUCUUUACAUUUUUUGUAUAUGUUAUAUUUCUAUGAAUUGUGAAUCGCGAGUAUGUUUUCAGGCUCUUCUUAACUGCCUCUGCGCACACCCCUCACUCUCCAUAGCCGAGGAAAAGAACAGUAAGAACUCAUGAUAACCUAAUUUUGAUAAAGCACUAAAAUUGGUGUAUGGGUUGAGAUUGAAAUAAAGUGAAUGAAUUAAGUCAAAUGGCUAUUGGGAAAAAUUUAUGCAUAUAAAUUUCUAUUGACAGAUUUUAUUCAUUAUUUCAUGUCUUAGGAAUGCUUAAUUAGGCUUAAGAUGAUUUGGGAACUUUUCUUAAAAGUUGUGUUCGAGCAACAUCUGAUUGUUUAAACUUAAAUUCAUUUAUCUGGCUACAAAUUUAUGGAAUAAGGAAGGUAUGUUAAAGGGCAUGUAAUGGGAUUGCUUUAUAUGAUGACUCAUUGUUGUUGAUGGGAUUUGAAAGUAGAGGAAUAUUUAAAAGUAGAGGAGUAGGAAGUAGAGCACCGAGGAUUGAUAAAGAUUGUAUGAAGUUGCAAGACACUAAUGGUCCAGAAAAAGGACGAGAAAAUAGCACAGAUAUCCAAAACUUUAAGAAGCAGACAAGAGGAAUAGAGAUGUAAGGACAUGUAUAAGAGGAUACCUAAGCCAAGGAAGUAGCUUAAUUUUUUUUAUUUUUUUAUUCCUUGUUUAUUGGCAUCCACUGAUACAAUGUGUGUUCAACUAUAAAUUAUAGUUGUUUGUCUUAUUGGAAAUUCUCAUUCACCCAUCUUUAAGCCUAAUUUGUCUUAUUUUCUACUGAUAUGUCCAUGUCUUAUUAUCAACAUAUGUUAUCUUCACCUAUACUUUCUUAUUAUUCUCUACUUUUAUGCAAUUUUAUUAGAAUAUUCUUUAAGUUUGUAUUUUAUUAAGAUAUUUUGUCCAAAAGUAUAAGUGACGGAUGGAUCUUUCCAUCUUGCAUACUUGACUGAUUGAUUCACUUGGUUACUUCUUGACAAUUGGUUUUUUCUCCUGUUAGUUCAGUACCGAAUGCAUAUGGAUUAUCAGGUUUGUAUAUUUAUCAGUGGAAAAUAUUAUUGCAUUCAUAAAUACACUUUGUUUUAACAUAAAUAUAGCAUGUAUUAAAACAUUCUUCCAUGAUGAUUACUUUCAACUUUUACAAAUUAAAACUAUUACAGGAACCUAGAAAAAGGAUUAUUUUCAAGGUCAUGAAAGAGUACUCAAAGGUCCUCCUCCAUCACUUCAAGUGGCAAAGGCUGUGAACUAUUUAACUUGGUACCCUUCUUUUUAUCCAUCAAGGCCUCUACAUGCUGCUCUUUACUUCCUUUUUGGGUGUAAGUUUUUUUUUCUUCAUAUUUAUGUUUAUCAUUGUGAUUAUUGAUGGUAAGGCCCAGCUCUCUUCGCAUUCAGUUUCUUAAAUCAAUUGGUGUGUUUGCUUUUGUGCUUUUAAUUUAUUUCAUCACUUUCAAGUUGUAGUUACAAGUUCAAAGAUCAAUUGAUUUUUUUUUAAUAUUCCGGAACAUAUGAUGACUAAUAGCUUGUUUGGCCAAGCUGCAAAAAUUAACUUAUUUUGAGAAGUGUUUUUUCUCAAAAGUGCUUUUUUCAAAAGUAUUUUUUGGUGAGAAUCAGUUUGUGUUUGGCUAAUUAAUUUGAAAAGCACUUCUGAGCAGCAAUUAGUAUUUGGCCAAGUUUUUAAAAACUGCUUCUAAGUGUAUUUUUCUUAAAAGUGCUUUUCAAAAAAGUGCUUUUGGAGAGAAGCUACUUUUUUCUGCUUCUCCAAAACUGCUUCUGCUUCUCCUCAAAAGCACUUUUCUUUCUUCAAAAAGCUUGGUCAAACACUUUAACUUUGAAAAAAAAGUACUUCUUUUAAAAAGAAAAGUGCUUUUGGCUUUGGAGAAGCUGGGCCAAACAGGCGAUAAGUCUAGCAUUCAAAAACUUUCCUCUUAGUUAGAAAAGGUAGUAUUGUAAUGCAUGAAAUAACUGGUGAUCGAGGAGGUUUUAUAUUCAUACUUUGAAAGUUCUAGCUUUGAUAUUGCCUAUUAUUUGUGGCUACAAGAGUUGCUUUAAUUUUUAUUUGGCUGAAUAGGUAGGGUGAUUUAUGAUACAAUAACAUGUCGUAGUAUGUACACUUUCGGAAAUAAGUACUUCGUAAAAUUGUACUAUUGUUAGGUAUUGAGUUUUAUUUGUGAAUUGAAGUAUAUAACUCUUUCGCACAGUGUAUUAAUACCAUGAGAUAUUUUUCCGUUCUAUGAGUUUAUCUACUAAGAUUAAGGACAAAUAAAAUAAGAAAUCAAGGAUAGUUUUGCAUAAUUAUUGUAGUGUAUUUGGUAACAGUGGCAUGGUAUAACUUUGUUUGUUUCCUUGGUUAUAAGUCUUUGCAAAUUAAAUAUAAUGUACUACAAAUGUAUUUAUAAAAAAGUGCAAUUUAUGCAAAAAGGGUGACAAGAACAAACCAAAAUUUUGAGGAAAAAAAAAAACAUAUUACCUAGGCUGAGUGCCAUUUCAAACAUAAGGUGCUCUUGCAGAUAGAAUAACACAAAAACGUCAUUAUUGUUACUUAGUUGAUCAACCAUUAGAAGUUUGUUGAUUGACCGUUGUUUGGGAAGUUCUAGAAUAAGUACCAUCUUGAGCUAACUAUCUUGAACACAAUUUUAUGUUUGAUUAUAUCUUCUUCAGUAUUUCGUGAACUCUAAAUUAUUUUCAUUGUUGACUCUGGUAGAAAUUGAUUAUUCAUCAAUGGGAGAUUUAAAAGAACCCCAUGACUGAGGUAUGUAUUAGGUCUUGAGCACUACCAGCUUACUCAAUAUAUUUAGAUAUAAAGAAUGUGUUUUAUUGUAAUUGUCUUGAAGAGUUUGUACUUGAAUUAAACUAUCUACUCAGUUUCCUUUCGAUAUUUGACUUAUGGAACUUCAGUUUGAUACUUUAUGUGAUAAAUACAGUCAAUAAAUCAAUCUAUCUAUGUCUUGAAACAGAGAAGAAACUUUUCAAUUAAGGUUUGUGAAGAAAAUGAGAAAAGCAAAGUGGAUCACUUUUUUAUAUUUCCCUUUUCGUGUAUUAGAAAAUUUUAUUAUUGACAAAGACCACACUAAGAUAAUGCUGAGAUGACAUAAAAGAAAUAUUAAUAUCAGUCCAUAUUUAUUCUUGCAGUGAUGACAAAAAAUAUAUCAAUGUAUUUACUUCAUAUCCUUAUAUGUUCUUUAUAACGAAUGAACUUUUUGUGUCACUUAAUAGUCAUAUGAUAUUAAUGUAUCUUUUUCUUUUAUAUGAGGGAAAGUAAAAUGCAUUGACCAACUUUUCUGGACAUCAUUUGCAUUUCACAUAAGUUGUGUCAGCAUUAGCUUAUCAAAGAAAACAUAAGGCUUAGCAUUUUUUCGAUUUUUUCGUUAAUUGUUAGGUGGUUAAAUCUUAAUGAUAGGAAGAUCCUAUACUGUUUUGAUAAAAUAUUAUAUUUGAUGUAUCUUUAGAUUGUAGUAACAGUGUCUUGCUAUAAAAGGCCAUAAUUUGACUCUUGAGUAUAGUAUUUUUCGAGUAGUUUAUUUGUGGUGAUCGCACUUAUCUCUUUAUGUCGUGAUAUUUUUCAAUUCUUGCUAUCAUUUAAUAUUUUCUAUCUCUAAAUAUUUGACUUCUUAUUCUCUACUUGGAAUAGGACAGGUUGUCUGAAGAACACAUAGUAGCAGAUGUAUGAAUGCAAUACACAAAAUAUUUGCCAUACUUUAUGUGGCUCUUAGUUGGACUAUGUUCUCUUUUGUUUAUAGUACAAACACGGAUAGCAACUGAUAUAUUUAGUUGAUCACGUAGCAUAAGAUAGUGGGUAGAAAACGAUGAAGAAAUAAGGCGUACUUGAGCUUGAGUUUGAUUUUGUAAGUAUAUUUAAAGGAAGUUGAAGAAAAGGAAAUAUUUAGCUCAAUUUUGAUAAAUCUAGGGAAG